CUCACUAGGCUCCCCUCUUCCAGCCAACAGAAAAGCUGUCGUCCCCCGGGGUCCUUGGUUGUUGUUUUCAGAACAGAGCCAAGGACCCCCCUGCCAUUUCAGCUCUUCACCGUCGCCCUCUACCCACAGCACCGAUCUUCCCCUCAGCCACAGCCUCUCCUUUCAUAGCCGAACACCAUAACAGCCGCCUCCAGCAUUUCCUUCAUUCAGCAACAGCACCAGCACCAGCACCGACACCCACUAGAUCUGCCAAGAGGAGUGAAGAUCGGACAGCCAUCCCCUCUCCAUCGCAGCUUCACCCGGCUGACCACAUAGAACCGCCACGCCCACAGCCACCGAGACACAGUCGCCUGAUCUGCCACCUUAGGAAGGGAGAAAACAGAAGUGAAGCAGAUUUGAAAAAGGAGAAGAUCGAAACAGAUCCGAAAAAAGAAAGAAAAAUUAAAAUCAACUGCCUGUGGUGUGUUCGGUUGCUUUGCAGGUCACCGCCGGCGUAGGGAGACUGAGAAGAAGAAGUCGAUCCAGACACCCCCUGUUGCUUGGUUUUUCUGUGGCGGCGCGUGAACCCACGCGCCGCCAGUGGUGGUGGCACGUGGGAAGACGCGCCGCCACUGUUCCUGCAUAUUCCAGAAGCCUUUGGAUAUUUUAGGGGCUGUUUUUGUAAUUUUAAAUUGUUUGAUGUAAUUUUAUUUUUAGUAUUGAAUUUUUAUUUUUUGUAUUGCGGAUGUAAAAGAAAAGAAAUGAAAAGAAAAGAAAGAAAAUAAUAAUAGAAAAAGAGAUAUGUGUGUGUUUGUGUAUUUUUUUAUGUAUGUUAUUGAAAUAAAAAAAAAGAAUGAAUUUAAUAUUUUAAUUUAUAUGCACAAAUAUCUAAAGGACAGAUAAAAAUCAUGUUGUAUUUUCCAUAAAAAUGUAG
RNAcentral lists this long non-coding RNA (913 nucleotides) under Populus trichocarpa (black cottonwood). RNAcentral's name for it is "long non-coding RNA (PTRI_LNC004112)". The record is from RNAcentral. Lineage: Eukaryota; Viridiplantae; Streptophyta; Magnoliopsida; Malpighiales; Salicaceae.